This 302-nucleotide long non-coding RNA is filed under the name Calidris pugnax (ruff). RNAcentral's name for it is "lncRNA (ENSCPUG00000019263.1)". Lineage: Eukaryota; Metazoa; Chordata; Aves; Charadriiformes; Scolopacidae. The record is from RNAcentral.
UACAGAUGCUAAUGUUAAGCCAGAGGAAUUGUCCCCGUGUCCCUGGUGUGGGAAAGUUCUAGGAUUCCAUUUCAGAACUGGUUCCGUGAAACAUCCGUUUUAAAGGUGGAUAAAAUUCAAGACUCUUCAGACAUGCUUUUGCAGUGCUCCAAAUGGAGGAGAGACUCUUGCCCCUGACGGAAACUUUGGAAGAUGCCUUUGGCUGAUACUUCCUGGGAAUGUGUUAACAUCUCUCUGUAAAACUUUGGCAGCGUGGGACCUCUCAGAAGACUGCCAUUUGGGCAGGAACUCUCUUUGCUAAC